UACGUAGGUGGCAAGCGUUGUCCGGAUUUAUUGGGUUUAAAGGGUGCGUAGGCGGUUCCUUAAGUCAGUGGUGAAAUACUUCAGCUCAACUGGAGAGGUGCCAUUGAUACUGGGGAACUUGAGUACUGAUGAGGUAGGCGGAAUGGACGGUGUAGCGGUGAAAUGCUUAGAUAUCGUCCAGAACACCGAUAGCGAAGGCAGCUUACUAAAGAGUAACUGACGCUGAGGCACGAAAGUGUGGGGAUCAAACAGG
Molecule: ribosomal RNA, 253 nt
Filed under: uncultured bacterium
Lineage: Bacteria
Description: partial 16S ribosomal RNA
Rfam family: Bacterial small subunit ribosomal RNA
Source: RNAcentral